UCAUAUCAUGUUGUAAAAGUCUCAUUAAAAGCUAUAGAAUCCCAUGAAGCAAAUGGUAAUACAAUAUUAGUAUUGAACAUAAAAGGGUUAUCAAAAAACAAAUAAUUUUAAAAAAGCAUACAUUUAAACAGCAGUUUAAUCUUUUCUUUGGUGCAAUGUUAUUCAGGCUUAUUUACAGCAGGGGGAGGAGUUUAGCGCACACUAUACAGCAUACAGCUGAGUAAAGAUGAGCAUCACUCAACACAGUGUGGAUCAGCUCAUCUGUUUUUAGCUUGUUCUUACUAGUUCAGUGAGUGAUCAUGUUGAUCUAUAUUAUUAUACUGCUGUCAUCAACUGAAGGUUCCAGAGCCUCAGAAGUCAUCGGUCCAAAAAGUGAGAGAGAAUUUGCUCUUGAGGGUGACAAUGUGACACUCUCCUGUAACUACAGCGGUUCUGCUCGUGGUGUUCACUGGUAUCGUCAAUAUACAGGAUCACAACCACAGUUCAUCAUACUGGAGGAUUCACGGGUCAUAACUCCAGCUGAUCCACCCAUUCCAGGAAUAACCAUCAAUCACAGAAAAACUGAAAAUCAUGUGGAUCUGAUCAUGUCCUCUGCUAAAACAUCAGAUUCAGCGCUGUACUACUGUGCUCUGAGGCCCACAGUCACAGGAAACCCUUUAGCACUGUACAAAAACAGCCAUAUCAAGCCUUGUUAGAAACGUACAAACGUUGGACUUAACAGCACAAAGGUCAAAAGAAAGAGAGAAAUAGUGCGACUGCUAGUAAUGAAAUUAACUUUUUUAUUAAGCUGACUCUAAUAGAAAGUAACUCUGAAGGCACCCACUGAAA
Non-coding RNA from Puntigrus tetrazona (Sumatra barb), 828 nucleotides. The record is from the annotation of a RefSeq genome assembly. NCBI's taxonomy places the organism in Eukaryota, Metazoa, Chordata, Actinopteri, Cypriniformes, Cyprinidae.